CUUUUGGGUAGGGGUAAGACUGCCUACAUAUUACCCUCCCCAGACCCCACCUGGUGGGAGUAUACUGGGUAGUUGUUGUUGUUGUUGUCUGGUACAAAGAGCCUCAACUCAUGAUAUCCGAUUCCAAUUUUUAAAGAAAGCUAAAGACAAUCUCUAGUUUACAACCUACUGUCAAAUUUGCAGCAGAUUUUGACAUAACCAAAGUGAAUCUAAAAAUGACUUCUAAGUAAAAUCACUACACACUAAAUCAUGAUUUUUAAUCAGAAGAGUAGCUCAUAUUAUAUUAAUAACAAAACGGAAAUAAAUACAUUAGACUUUAGAAGGGACUUACGGGUGUUCAUCGGGCGGAUUGGGCGGUUUUUACUCUUAACGGUUUGGCUUAAUGGUUAUCGGCUUUUAAAUGUAUUAAUCCGUUAGCCAUCCGAUA
Molecule: long non-coding RNA, 427 nt
Filed under: Nicotiana benthamiana
Lineage: Eukaryota; Viridiplantae; Streptophyta; Magnoliopsida; Solanales; Solanaceae
Description: long non-coding RNA (NBEN_LNC010218)
Source: RNAcentral